CUUCCUCAUUCAAUCCUAAUCAUAAAGUAUUGCCAUUAACUCUCCGUCAGGCUUUCCCACUACGUCAAUCUUAAGAUUCUGAGGAAUCGAGAUAUGAUGUUCCGUUUCUGUCAUGAUUUUUGAUCCCUCUCUCUUAAUGUUACUGCUCUUUGAUAUUCGUUUGACCCGUGAUCCUGAUGUAGUUAUUUUUUAUUUUGCAUCUCGAUUAAUUCUUAUAUAUAUCUUUGGUUAUGUUUUGGAAAUGAUCUGAUUAAUGUGUAACGUUUUUGGUUCUUAGGCUUUUCACAAUCGUAAAAUACACCAGUCGAGUUUACAUGGGUGGUCAAGGCGAAAAACCAAGUUGUAGCAGGAAUGAUGCAUCAUCUGACCCAGGAGUGAAGCCAUGGUUGAUCUUCAAAGAGUUGCAGGAAUUCAAGCCCCUACCAUUCAUCUUUCCGUUCUUGGCUGGAAAAAAGGAUGGCCAUGAAUCUGGAUAGAGGGAAGUUCCAGGAGAUGAUCAAGAAGUGCAAUACGUUUCUUUUGAUCAUGUCAAGACCAUCUAACAAAGAUCUAACUCAUUGUUCCCUUAUGAACUUCACGAGAUUGUGCAUAGUACUUUAGUACAUUUGUAGCGCAAAGUUCUUAUCAAGAAUAAUAGAAGUUUGUUUUGAUCAAAAAAGAAAAGAAAAGAAAGAAUAAUAGAAGUUUGUACGUCACUGAACACCUCUAAACCUCAAGUUGGGAAUAUGUUCAUCUGCUUAUUAUUUAAAUAAUUAUAUUUUUCUUCCGAGUUUAAUACCAAA
Brassica napus (rape) is the source of this 782-nucleotide long non-coding RNA. RefSeq lists it as uncharacterized. The transcript has 2 exons. The record is from RefSeq and is a predicted model, not a curated record. NCBI's taxonomy places the organism in Eukaryota, Viridiplantae, Streptophyta, Magnoliopsida, Brassicales, Brassicaceae.